This 120-nucleotide non-coding RNA is filed under the name Mucilaginibacter polytrichastri. Its description in RNAcentral is "SAM-I sequence". It matches the Rfam family "SAM riboswitch aptamer (S box leader)". Rfam says of the family: The SAM riboswitch is found upstream of a number of genes which code for proteins involved in methionine or cysteine biosynthesis in Gram-positive bacteria. The record is from Rfam by way of RNAcentral. Lineage: Bacteria; Pseudomonadati; Bacteroidota; Sphingobacteriia; Sphingobacteriales; Sphingobacteriaceae.
UACUUAUCCAGAAAGACUGAGGGAAAGGCCCGAUGACGUCUUAGCAACCUAUAUUGUUUUAAAAGGCAAUAAAAGGUGCUAACUCCUGCUCCUGUAUUCAUUACCGGGGGAAGAUAAGCA